CUACGGGCUGCAGCAGUCGAGAAUCUUCCGCAAUGCGCGAAAGCGUGACGGAGCAAUGCCGCGUGGUGGAUGAAGGCCUUAGGGUUGUAAACACCUGUCACAUGGGACGAAUUUUGACGGUACCAUGAGAGGAAGCCACGGCUAACUACGUGCCAGCAGCCGCGGUAAUACGUAGGUGGCGAGCGUUGUUCGGCUUUAUUGGGCGUAAAGGGUCCGCAGGGGGUUUGCUAAGUCUGAUGUGAAAUCCCAGGGCUCAACCCUGGAACUGCAUUGGAAACUGGCGGACUAGAGUAUCGGAGAGGUAAAUGGAAUUCCUGGUGUAGUGGUGGAAUGCGUAGAUAUCAGGAAGAACACCGAGAGCGAAGGCAAUUUACUGGACGAUCACUGACCCUCAGGGACGAAAGCGUAGGUAGCGAACAGGAUUAGAUACCCGCGUAGUC
Molecule: ribosomal RNA, 440 nt
Filed under: uncultured bacterium
Lineage: Bacteria
Description: partial 16S ribosomal RNA
Rfam family: Bacterial small subunit ribosomal RNA
Source: RNAcentral